Molecule: transfer RNA, 76 nt
Filed under: Micralestes sp. NM-2010
Lineage: Eukaryota; Metazoa; Chordata; Actinopteri; Characiformes; Alestidae
Description: tRNA-Leu (UUR)
Rfam family: tRNA
About the family: Transfer RNA (tRNA) molecules are approximately 80 nucleotides in length.
Source: RNAcentral
ACUAAGGUGGCAGAGCCCGGAUAAAUGCAAAAGGCCUAAGCCCUUUCUCCCGGGGGUUCAAGUCCCCCCCUUAGCU